AUACAUAGGAAAAACAGGUUAGUUGGAGAUAGUUGGUUUCCUGAGAUUUUGGUUGCAUUGUAGUUUACAUCUUGGUAUGGAUGCCAUGUGAGAGAGUUUAAAAUUUGUAGGAGUUAGCAUGGCACAAGCAAAUUUGUUCAAUUGUUGGAUUGGAAUGAGUAGACAUGUUUUAGUUGAGUGGUGUCUGAUAUGACUUGCUCAAAUUCUUGCCAGUUCUCUGCAGUAAUUACUUAUCAGGCCAUUCUUAAUUGGAAGGAGGAGAUUACCCUUUAUAGACAAUUAACCCUUAUAUUGUUUAGGUCUUUUGUGUCUUGGUAUCCUGCUGUUAGUUCUUUGUUUCAAUGGAUAUUUGAAGCUUGUGCAUGCUGGUUGAUAUGUACAAUUGGUAUACUCAUUUGUUAUGAAAUCUACAGGACAGGAUUUGAGGAAAAUA
RNAcentral lists this unclassified non-coding RNA (433 nucleotides) under Hevea brasiliensis (rubber tree). Lineage: Eukaryota; Viridiplantae; Streptophyta; Magnoliopsida; Malpighiales; Euphorbiaceae. The record is from RNAcentral.